AAAGUCGUAACAAGGUCUCCGUUGGUGAACCAGCGGAGGGAUCAUUAAAGAGUUGCAAAACUCCCACAAACCAUCGCGAACGUUACCCGUAACCGUUGCCUCGGCGGCGUCGGCCCCCCCGGGGGUUGGCCGCCGGCGGUACCCACAACUCUGUUUUUGCAGGCCUCUCUGAGUAACUUAUCAAAUAAGUCAAAACUUUUAACAACGGAUCUCUUGGUUCUG
This 222-nucleotide unclassified non-coding RNA is filed under the name Ascomycota sp. RNAcentral describes it as "partial contains small subunit ribosomal RNA, internal transcribed spacer 1, and 5.8S ribosomal RNA". The stretch from base 1 to 47 matches the Rfam family "Eukaryotic small subunit ribosomal RNA", at positions 1785 to 1831 of the family's 1831-position model. Lineage: Eukaryota; Fungi; Ascomycota. The record is from RNAcentral.